UAGCCAUGUCAUAUUCUUGAAAGUCCGUUCUUGUUUCGCGUGUCCAAAGAACCAGCGUUUUCGGUUACAAGAGUAAAUAUAUAUAUAUGUAUAUACGUUCAUUUUAUGUUUCCAAGAGGGGAGGCUAGUUGCUUUAUAAAUGCUUAGAGAUGGGCAAGUCGAACUGCGGCAGGGGUCAAUUUAAAUUUAGUUAUUUAGCGUAAUAUGCUCAAAUCAAUAGCACACUUCAGUUCAGUUGUUUUGCAUCAGCGCACUUCGGUUACAAUCUUGCAAAAAAUCAUGAUUCAUCAACAAACUAGUUUAAAAUAGAUGCAAUAGUAGAUACAGCUAUGUCAUGCUGUGGUGAUGAUUUUUUUCGCCUAGCGACAAGAUAAUGAUUAAAAAAUUGCUUCGUUGGCGGAUUUUCUAUUACGUUGGCGAAAUAACGCAGAUUUUUAUUACGUUGGCGAAAUAACGCAAUUCUUUGCUGAAUGCUCAAUGGACAAUACUAAACAAAAAAGUCUUGCGUAUCGCUGCCAAAUGUUGUAGUAAUGAUGUAUAUGAAAGCCUUUCAAUCAUUAUCUCCUUCAGCUUUUUAAUUAAUAAGACAAUUUUGUUUCUGAAUAUUUCACAGCCAUAGGCAGCGCUUUCGUUCUCGUGGAGCUCGCGCGUGUAUACACGACUUGUGUACACGCGCGAACCCCACGAGAACGCAAACGCGAUUUUACCACUAACUACUGGACUGCCUUAUUUCAUGUGACUGAUUUUGAAUAUAACCUUGAUUUCAAUAACUAUAAUCACUAGGAAUCAAUGAUAGUAAUUCUCGACUUCGUCUUGGGACAAGUGUAAAAAGUGUGUAAAUUCCGAUUUGACAAUAAUAAAUUUUGACAUUCCAUUUAUUUGUGGCGACACUUUUAUAAUCAAAUUUGCCACUGUCACCAUGACGUGUACAACACCGCACCAUUUCGAGCAUCAAUAUGAUACUAAAUGCAAUAAUUUAAUCCUGAGAUUAGGUUAGGAUUAGUGUCUGAUUUAGGAUCACAGUUAACCAUAAUCAACCGUGACCCUAAUCUAAGACCAAUCCUAAAUUAAUCUCAAGUAUUCAAUUCGUGUUUUUACCGAUGAUGGAAUUAUUACCAAUACCUUCGUCUUACUAAAUUCCGCCAUCAUGACGAGCAUCCUCGUCAUUAUAACACGAAUAGACACUUCCUGAAUUUGCUGCAUGGAGUUAACACAGAACAAUACCUUGGAAACGAGGCGAACAAUGUAAUCUUUUGUUUGUGGGAUGGUUUUUAUUGUCCUAGAAGAAAUUCGGGAGGUGUCUAUAUAACAAACAAUCACAAUGUUACAAACGCCUUUUAUUCAUAAACACACCUUUUAUAGCACCAUAAAAAUACUGCAUGUCAUUACAGAAAAAAAACCACGAUGAUCACAAUCACCACUAAUUUCACAAGUCCACAGUUUUGCCGAUAUUCAAAUAAAUGAAGCGAUUCACGGGGCUCACUCAUUAAUGUUUCGAAAUGUGAGAAAAUAACACUAAAAAAUUAAAUUGUUUGUGUUGCAAUAUUCCGCCUCUUUGCUUUCCCAGAUUUUAAUUACACACAUUCAUGAUGCUUUCAUUCUAUGCAGACAAAGAAUAAGCUUCAUAAAGCGCUUGUAGAUUCAGCUGCGGCGACCACAAUGAGAAAAUAUUUUUUCCUUAAUACGUCUGCAUAGCAUCUUCUUUCAUGCUUUUAAAAGUAAACCCCUCCUGUCAUAUAGUGGAAGAUUAAUUUAGAAAUUUUAAAACAAGUAAAAGAUGAGCUUAAACGCACAUAAUUUUAAGACAAUUCAAUGAAUCAAAUUAGAAAUGGGUUUAUAUUAAGUGCGGCUGAGUAAAUUAUUUGUACGUUCAGGCAUGAUAGAUUACUGUCGCUCACAUUGAUUUAUUCUGGUCUGAGGCUUCUUAUAGGCCAUUUUAAAUGCAUGUAAACGCAUUAGUUUAUCCAUUCUCGUGUUCGUCUUAACGCACUGAAAGAAAAAUUUGUUUGGAAACAGCGUCAUCAUGAAAAGUGCGUUUGUCUAAUUUGAAAUUAAAGCACGUUUUCGGCUGCAACAGGAGGAAUUAGACGCGAAACGUUUAGACGAUGUACGUCAAACUGAGUAGGACUAUAUUUAAAAACAUGUUGCAAACAGUUCUUACGUCUCAACAAAAAUUACUUACAAUUACUUAAACAAAUUCUCUCGAAAAACCUAUCACACGUUUACAGUCACAAGCAAGAUUUAAAUGUUUUAAAGACCUUAAAUACCAGAAUUCACAGUCAACUUGCAAUUGAUAUUUCAAAAUUAAUACUAAAAAUAUUUCAAUUCUGCUAUUUCAACAGUUUUCAUUGCCCAAUUUUAAUAAAACUUUGCUAGCAUACGUUCAUUUAUGAUAAUUGCGUUUUGUCUCUAGAGCACAUAUUUAAUUAAAAUUCGCCAUUUUCUGUUUGCAGUCACAACUGUCGUCAUCAACUCCGUCAACAACUGCUUGCCGCUAAAAUUAGUCGGCCUGUGAGUCCUCAAAAUGGAAAGACAACACGCCAGAGAAGCGGUCAGACUUCUAAGGGAAAAGAAGGUGGAAGGCGUCGAAAAUCUUCAAAAGAGUGACUCGGAACUUGUUAAAAUCGCCACGGAUAUCGCGUUAGGAUUACAAAGUGGGAAGAUGCCUGAAUGCUAUAAGCUGAUUGAGAAGGAUCUUACCGCCUAUACUGAAGAGCUAAACGGGAAAAGUAAUCUCGGAUCUUCUUCACCAGAGAUAUUUACACAACGUUUGCAUGAGCAAGAUAACUUAGUUGAGGAAGAAAUUAUUGAAUUAACAAGCUCCAGUGAUGAAAAAAGAUCACCGACGGAGUUGAAAAAGAAAAUAUUAUCUGUUGGAACACUCAUCAACUCACUUCCUUCAAAAAACCUUCGUACAACCGCAAGAUCUCCUUCACUUAAUCUAAAACUACCCUUGAUUACAGACAGUUUCAGACGUUCAUCCUCCUUUGCUGCGAUCAAUAGAAACGUUAAAGAACGAUCAGUACGCCAAAGCAAACUUCCAUCGACUGCAAUAGGGCUGCGCUCAGAAAGAGUUAGAAUGGGAGUCGACAGGAACAGGAAAAAGUGCUUUGAAGAUCUGCAAAACCUUGGAAUGGAGAAGUUGAAGAUUUCUUCAGCUUACUGGGAAACCCCUUUUGAUCCACUCAGAGAGCGCGUUCUCACUGAUGAAAAGUUUUUUACGAUCACACGGCAGAAUCUGAAAAUGAGCAGGAUAUAUCUUUAAGCAAGAAAGAAGUUCUUGUACAUACAGACUAUUGGGAAAUAAGAAAAAUUAUGCGUUUUGUUAGGAUCGGUAACCCGACAGCUACAGUCCUGGCACUUUGUGCUCUCAAGGAUCUUGAUAUACAAAAACCUUCAUUUAGUGAAAUAAUUCGUCAUCUUCACGGCAUCACUUUAUUCCUUAAUAUCCUCGAUACUGAUAACCGUCGAUGCAGGGUCGCUGCAUUAAAGGUCCUUUUGUAUUUGUCAAGUUCCCCAAAAACAUCCAACAUCAUUUUAAGGAGAAACGGCAUUCAACAGCUUGUGUCAGUUCUCAGCGAGGAUGACAAAGUUAUUGUGUCUUUGGCGUGUGAUGUUCUCUCGUCUCUGGCCAAACACAGGAACGUUCGUGCGGCUGCAAAUAAAAUAAACAUUAUAGAGAAGCUGAUGUCGGUAUUUAAAGUUUGUGUACCGAAGUUCAACUUGGUGCAAGAUGAUAGGCUGGAAUUAUUUCGCAGUGUUUGUAAUGCUCUGUGGAGUUGUUGCCUCUCGAUCAGAGAUAAAGAUGUCAAGAUUAUAUCAGAAUCAUUGAAUGUCUUUUCCCGUUUGGUGGAAACCCAAGAUGAGGAACUCGUAGUACCUUUGCUAGGAAUUGUUGAAGAGUGUGCAAGUGUGGAAUACUUUCGUAUUGAAUUGGAAAAAGAAAAUUUUAUAGAGAAAGUGAUAGCGAAAAUAGAGGGAAGUGAACGAACUGAAGUCCUUUCUAUCAAGAUUCUUUUCAAGUGUGCUGGUGAUGAGAGGACGCAGAGGACAUUGUUGAAAGCAAACAACGUACAACGAAUAGUGAAGCUUUUUAAACAACAUUGUCAAAGAAAUAACGAGGAAAUGUUAACUUUACUUCCUGGUAUAAUCUGGAGGUGUUCUUUGAAUAAGGAAUACAGGGAAAAGUUUGAAGCUCACGAAAUUUUCCCUCUCGUUUCAAAUAUACUCCAGUCUGAUAAAAACACACAGGUUAAAGGUUCUGCACUAGGUUUGUUAGCAGAACUGCUAUGGAAUGAUGCUUACCUGGAGGCCAUCAGCAAUCAUGAAGUUAUAAACCUUCUGAUCGGUUUCAUGUCGCUAACGGAACCCGCGAUGUUGUUGUACGGCGCACGUUCGCUUGGAGUAUGCGCUCGUAAUAAUGCUCUGAGAAGAAAAAUCUUACAACUUGAUGGUCUACGGUUACUGUGGUCUUUGUUAAAGAAUCCCGACCAGGAGAUUGUUGCAAGUAGCGCCGCAGCCUUGGCGUCUGUUUGUGUGGAACCUGAGGAGUCAGCGAAUGCUGUACGCUCAAUUGUCGGAGGAAUAGAACUUCUUAUGUCGUUAUUAUCCGCUACGGAACUGAAAAGAUACAAAGUUUUGAUAUGUCUGUGUGAAGCUGCAGUGAGCAUCGCAAAAGACGCGGAGAAUCGUUCCAUCUUGGUAGAUUAUGAUUUAAUUCCAGUCCUUCUUAGAUUACGUGAAUCGAAAAGCAAGAUAUUAAGAUACUUCGUUACAAGUCUUAUUUCAAGGUGCUGUGAAUCCUCACGAGAGCGAAAUGUUCUCUCACAAUGUAUACCAUACUUGAUCGAGGGGCUUGGAGACGACUUUGAUGAGCACGUCCACUGUGUGUCCAUCUCAGCAUUAAACAAACUCUCACAUGACUUUGAGAACUGUGAGUUCCUGAGAAACAACAAUACGCCUAAAAUCCUGAUGAAUCUGCUGGCAUCAAGUAACGAAAAGAUACAAGACGCUGCCGCUGAAUGUUUGUCUAAUGUGAGAAAGUCCAUUGUGCACAUGUCACGCGGAUUUAGGAUGCCAAGCACAAGGCAAGGUACCCAAUUUAGUUGUGGUGUAUCUAUAGGGACCCUGCGGCCAAAAUAUCCGUAAAAAACAAGAUACAUUUCGACGAUGGUUCAAAGUUCUGUAAGUGGGAAUGGAACCGAUGAAAACGCUGCAUAAGUCCUUUGUGCAUUUCAUCGACAAGAAAAACGUAAAGAUCGCUAAGAAAAGCUUGGAGCUUCUCCUGAUCCGUGA
RNAcentral lists this unclassified non-coding RNA (5295 nucleotides) under Dendronephthya gigantea. RNAcentral's name for it is "armadillo repeat-containing protein 4-like, transcript variant X7". Lineage: Eukaryota; Metazoa; Cnidaria; Anthozoa; Malacalcyonacea; Nephtheidae. The record is from RNAcentral.